UCAGGUAACUAAUUAAUUCAGUUAUUGCAUGUUAUCAGUUUCUUUUUCUUUUCUUACUGUAAUCUAUUAGCAACUCCGACUUUAAGAUUUUUAUGCUUUAAUGGCUGAACACACACCAAAAUUACGAACAAAUAAGGGUAUAAUACCUAUUAAUUUACCGUCUAAUUUUUUUAGUCUUGAAUUAACUCAAGAGGAAGUAGUUAAAGUUGUUUCUAGUCCUAUACAGUCGAAGAAAUUUAUGAGUACGAAGGAGCUUAGAUCCAAGUUUCGUAACCACCUGGUGAAGAUGGCUGAUAUUUAAAAAAAAAAUCAUUGAAAAAAGUUUCUUCUCCAAAAGAUAAAAAAUUAAAAAAAUAUGAGAAGAAAAGAAAAGCAAAAGAAAUUGCAGAGUCAAGCAAUGGUG
Molecule: long non-coding RNA, 403 nt
Filed under: Capsicum annuum
Lineage: Eukaryota; Viridiplantae; Streptophyta; Magnoliopsida; Solanales; Solanaceae
Description: long non-coding RNA (CANN_LNC004499)
Source: RNAcentral